This 70-nucleotide transfer RNA is filed under the name Chrysis clarinicollis. RNAcentral's name for it is "tRNA-Val". The record is from RNAcentral. Lineage: Eukaryota; Metazoa; Arthropoda; Insecta; Hymenoptera; Chrysididae.
AAAAUUUUAGUUUAAUAUAUAAAAUAUUUCAUUUACAAUGAGAAGAUUUAUAAGUAGUAUAAAAAUUUUA